UACGUAGGGCGCAAGCGUUGUCCGGAAUUAUUGGGCGUAAAGCGCGCGUAGGCGGCCGUCCACGUCGGAUGUGAAAGCUCGGGGCUCAACUCCGAGAGGCCAUUCGAUACGGGACGGCUUGAGGCAGCUAGGGGAGAGUGGAAUUCCUGGUGUAGCGGUGAAAUGCGCAGAUAUCAGGAGGAACACCGGUGGCGAAGGCGGGUCUCUGGGCAGUAACUGACGCUGAGGAGCGAAAGCGUGGGGAGCGAACAGGAUUAGAACC
This 262-nucleotide ribosomal RNA is filed under the name uncultured bacterium. Its description in RNAcentral is "partial 16S ribosomal RNA". It matches the Rfam family "Bacterial small subunit ribosomal RNA", at positions 524 to 785 of the family's 1533-position model. The record is from RNAcentral.